CCUACGGGGUGCAGCAGUGAGGAAUAUUGGUCAAUGGGCGCGAGCCUGAACCAGCCAAGUCGCGUGAGGGAAGACGGUCCUAUGGAUUGUAAACCUCUUUUGUCGGGGAGCAAAAGACGCCACGCGUGGCGUUCCGAGAGUACCCGAAGAAAAAGCAUCGGCUAACUCCGUGCCAGCAGCCGCGGUAAUACGUAGGGGGCAAGCGUUAUCCGGAUUUACUGGGUGUAAAGGGAGCGUAGACGGCAGUGCAAGUCUGGAGUGAAAGUUGGGGGCUCAACCCCCGGAGUGCGCUGGAAACUGUACGGCUUGAGUGCAGGAGAGGUAAGUGGAAUGCGUGGUGUAGCGGUGAAAUGCGUAGAUAUUAGGAGGAACACCAGUGGCGAAGGCAGCUUACUGGAGUGUAACUGACGUUGAGGCACGAAAGCGUGGGGAGCAAACAGGAUUAGAUACCCGAGUAGUC
This 460-nucleotide ribosomal RNA is filed under the name uncultured bacterium. RNAcentral's name for it is "partial 16S ribosomal RNA". It matches the Rfam family "Bacterial small subunit ribosomal RNA", at positions 338 to 795 of the family's 1533-position model. The record is from RNAcentral.